This 282-nucleotide ribosomal RNA is filed under the name uncultured bacterium. RNAcentral's name for it is "partial 16S ribosomal RNA". It matches the Rfam family "Bacterial small subunit ribosomal RNA", at positions 337 to 616 of the family's 1533-position model. The record is from RNAcentral.
UCCUACGGGGCGCAGCAGUGAGGAAUAUUGGUCAAUGGCCGGAAGGCUGAACCAGCCAAGCCGCGUGAAGGACGAAGGUGCCAAGCAUUGUAAACUUCUUUUGUCAAGGGACAAAAUCAGGCUCGAGAGCCUGACCGAGGGUACUUGAAGAAAAAGCAUCGGCUAACUCCGUGCCAGCAGCCGCGGUAAUACGGAGGAUGCGAGCGUUAUCCGGAUUUAUUGGGUUUAAAGGGUGCGUAGGCGGGCCGGUAAGUAAGCGGUAAAAACCCGGGACUCAACCCC